CCUACGGGUGGCAGCAGUGAGGAAUAUUGGUCAAUGGUCGGGAGACUGAACCAGCCAAGCCGCGUGAGGGAUGAAGGUACAGAGUAUCGUAAACCUCUUUUGUCAGGGAACAAAGGCGGGGACGUGUCCCCGGAUGGGUGUACCUGAAGAAAAAGCAUCGGCUAACUCCGUGCCAGCAGCCGCGGUAAUACGGAGGAUGCGAGCGUUAUCCGGAUUUAUUGGGUUUAAAGGGUGCGCAGGCGGAUUGUUAAGUCAAGGGGCAAAGCCCGGGGCUCAACCCCGGCACGCCGGUUAAACUGGGCCGUCUCGAGUUGGAGAGAGGUAUGCGGAAUGCGGGGUGUAGCGGUGAAAUGCAUAGAUAUCGCGCAGAACUCCGAUUGCGAAGGCAGCAUGCCGGCUCCACACUGACGCUGAGGCACGAAAGCGUGGGUAUCGAACAGGAUUAGAUACCCCAGUAGUC
Molecule: ribosomal RNA, 460 nt
Filed under: uncultured bacterium
Lineage: Bacteria
Description: partial 16S ribosomal RNA
Rfam family: Bacterial small subunit ribosomal RNA
Source: RNAcentral